CCCUAUGGGGCGCACCAGGGGCGAAACCUCCACAAUGCACGCAAGUGCGAUGGGGUUACCUCGAGUGCCGCCUGAAGAAGGCGGCUUUUCCGCGGUGUAAUGAGCCGUGGGAAUAAGGGGGGGGCAAGACUGGUGUCAGCCGCCGCGGUAACACCAGCCCCCCGAGUGGUGGGGAUGUUUAUUUGGCCUAAAGCGUCCGUAGCCGGCCCGGUAAAUCUCUCGUUAAAUCCAGCGUCCUAAGCGUUGGGCUGCGAGGGAGACUGCCGGGCUAGAGGGUGGGAGAGGUCAGCGGUAUUUCUGGGGUAGGGGCGAAAUCCAUUGAUCCCAGGAGGACCACCAGUGGCGAAGGCUGCUGACUAGAACACGCCUGACGGUGAGGGACGAAAGCUGGGGUAGCGAAUCGGAUUAGAUACCCGAGUAGUCCCAGCCGUAAACGAUGCAGGCUAGGUGUUGGGCCGGCCACGCGCCAGCUCAGUGCCACAGGGAAGCCAUUAAGCCUGCCGCCUGGGGAGUACGGCCGCAAGGCUGAAACUUAAAGGAAUUGGCGGGAGAGCACCACCAGGCGUGAAGCCUGCGGUUUAAUUGGAGUCAACGCCGGGAACCUUACCGGGAGCGACAGCAGGGUGAAAGCCAGGUUGAAGGUCUUGCUGGACGAGCUGAGAGGAGGUGCAUGGCC
RNAcentral lists this ribosomal RNA (676 nucleotides) under uncultured marine group III euryarchaeote. Its description in RNAcentral is "bacterial SSU rRNA". It matches the Rfam family "Archaeal small subunit ribosomal RNA", at positions 321 to 999 of the family's 1478-position model. Lineage: Archaea; Methanobacteriati; Thermoplasmatota; Thermoplasmata; Candidatus Thermoprofundales. The record is from RNAcentral.